UACGUAGGCAGCGAGCGUUGUUCGGAGUUACUGGGCGUAAAGCGUGCGCAGGUGGUCAUGCAAGACAGAUGUGAAAUCCCCGGGCUUAACCUGGGAACUGCAUUUGUGACUGCACGGCCAGAGUGCGGCAGAGGGGGAUGGAAUUCCGCGUGUAGCAGUGAAAUGCGUAGAUAUGCGGAGGAACACCGAUGGCGAAGGCAAUCCCCUGGGCCUGCACUGACGCUCAUGCACGAAAGCGUGGGGAGCGAACAGG
This 253-nucleotide ribosomal RNA is filed under the name uncultured bacterium. RNAcentral describes it as "partial 16S ribosomal RNA". It matches the Rfam family "Bacterial small subunit ribosomal RNA", at positions 524 to 776 of the family's 1533-position model. The record is from RNAcentral.